UACGUAGGGUGCAAGCGUUGUCCGGAAUUAUUGGGCGUAAAGAGCUCGUAGGCGGUUUGUCGCGUCUGCUGUGAAAACUGGAGGCUCAACCUCCAGCCUGCAGUGGGUACGGGCAAACUAGAGUGCGGUAGGGGAGAUUGGAAUUCCUGGUGUAGCGGUGGAAUGCGCAGAUAUCAGGAGGAACACCGGUGGCGAAGGCGGGUCUCUGGGCAGAUACUGACGCUGAGGAGCGAAAGCGUGGGGAGCGAACAGG
Molecule: ribosomal RNA, 253 nt
Filed under: uncultured bacterium
Lineage: Bacteria
Description: partial 16S ribosomal RNA
Rfam family: Bacterial small subunit ribosomal RNA
Source: RNAcentral